RNAcentral lists this ribosomal RNA (647 nucleotides) under fungal endophyte sp. B4-3371. RNAcentral's name for it is "eukaryotic LSU rRNA". The stretch from base 294 to 447 matches the Rfam family "5.8S ribosomal RNA". Lineage: Eukaryota; Fungi. The record is from RNAcentral.
GUACAAUCCCCUAAAAUAUUCCUUCUUGGCAAUUUGCAUGGGUACAAGUGUACUUUUGAGGGCAAACAACAAUUCACGUUUUCAUCCUUUUUUUGGAAGUUAAAAAAACGUAACAAGGUUUCCGUAGGUGAACCUGCGGAAGGAUCAUUACCGAGUGCGGGCCCUCUGGGUCCAACCUCCCAUCCGUGUCUAUCUGUACCCUGUUGCUUCGGCGUGGCCACGGCCCGCCGAAGACUAACAUUUGAACACUGUCUGAAGUUUGCAGUCUGAGUUUUUAGUUAAACAAUAAUUAAAACUUUCAACAACGGAUCUCUUGGUUCCGGCAUCGAUGAAGAACGCAGCGAAAUGCGAUAAUUAAUGUGAAUUGCAGAAUUCAGUGAAUCAUCGAGUCUUUGAACGCACAUUGCGCCCCCUGGUAUUCCGGGGGGCAUGCCUGUCCGAGCGUCAUUGCUGCCCUCAAGCACGGCUUGUGUGUUGGGCUUCCGUCCCUGGUAACGGGGACGGGCCCAAAAGGCAGUGGCGGCACCAUGUCUGGUCCUCGAGCGUAUGGGGCUUUGUCACCCGCUCCCGUAGGUCCAGCUGGCAGCUAGCCUCGCAACCAAUCUUUUUAACCAGGUUGACCUCGGAUGCAGGUAAGAUGCCCCCCC